GGCAACCAGCUUGGGUCUGCUCCCACGCUGUUGGGGCGGGGGCGGGGGGGGGGUUGUUCUUUUGCUCCUUGGGUCCACACUGCGUUUAUGAGCUGUAAUAUUCACCGCAAAGGUCUGCAGCUUCACUACUAAGCCAACGAGACCACAAACCCACCAGGAGGAACGACAAUUCCAGACGCGUGGCUUUAACAGCUGUUAACACUCACCGCGAAGGUCUGUAGCUUCAUUUCUGAGUCAGCGAGACCACGAACCCACCAGAAAGAAGAAACUCCGAACACACCCGAACCUCAGAAGGAACAAAUUCCGGACACGCCGCCUUUAAGAACUGUAACACUCACCACAAGGGUCCGCGGCUUCAUUCUUGAAGUCAGUGAGACCAAGAACCCACUAAUUCCGGACACACUUUGACCAGCAGAGCAGGCAGAAGUAAAGCCACGGUUCACAGAAGUGGCUGCCCCGGCUGGACACAGGCUCAAUCUUGCUGGAAUCUGUCCUCUUACUCCCCUACCCCAGCCCAGUGCCCCACCAGCGUGCUCCACUCAGCAUCCUGAUUUUCCCUGGAAUGUGCCACUUUGCCACCAUUUCCCUUUCAACAGAUGGAAUAUAGCAAGUUCGCUUUCUGUAUCAA
This is a long non-coding RNA of Homo sapiens (human), 628 nucleotides long. RefSeq lists it as uncharacterized. NCBI's taxonomy places the organism in Eukaryota, Metazoa, Chordata, Mammalia, Primates, Hominidae. The record is from RefSeq and is a predicted model, not a curated record. The transcript has 2 exons.